RNAcentral lists this long non-coding RNA (1437 nucleotides) under Pan troglodytes (chimpanzee). RNAcentral describes it as "lncRNA (ENSPTRG00000053978.1)". The record is from RNAcentral. Lineage: Eukaryota; Metazoa; Chordata; Mammalia; Primates; Hominidae.
CCCCCUCAACUUCAAGCUCCCUGAUCUGAUCGUGGACACUGCAGUCCCCAGAUGGCUCAUCCCGUUAAGCUAAGCCCUCGGCCAUCCCUCCAGCUUUAGGAAGAAAAGCAGUUCUGGCCCAAGCCAGACUGAGCUUCCUGGGUGAGGGAGGGGCAGUGUCCCUACCCAGGCUUGGAGGAGGAGCCUCAAGGGGUGUGUGUGGUUGGGGGAGACAGGCGGUGUCACCUGUGCUUAGACCAGGGGCGGUGGGUGGGUACCCUUGAGGUGGCAAGGUCACACUGCUCAUCAGAAGUUUCUCACUAGGGUCUUCUCUGGCCCAGCCUUUGACUGAAGCUGGUCUGGAGACAGGGGAGUUAGAGAAGUGACUCAUAGAUGGCCUAAAGAAGCGGGGCCACUCAAGGACUCAGGACAGAGGGCCAAUCCAGCUGGACCGCAGGCAAACCCCAUGGCCUUUGAGAGAAGAGAGAAGAGGACCCGGUGAAGUAGGCUCCGAGGGCCUCAGCCCAGCAGGAGUGCAGGGAGCUGCACCAGGAACUCACAGAGGAUCAGGGAGAAUUCUGAGAACAUGCUACUGUGGUGCUGCCUAGAGAGGAAGGAUAAAUGAUGACAAGUACAUCUCUGAGUAACGGAGUUCAAGCAGGCUGGAUGGGUCCAUCUAUGGAUGAUCUUCCCCAGCCCCUUCCUCUUCCCAGCUCAUCCCUGGCUCUCUGUAUGAACAGUUCUCAUCAGUGGAAUGUGGUUGAUGAAGUGAGGUCUUCAAUUUUCUCAUCUACUGUGUGGUCAUGUUAUUUUCCUCAUCUGAGGCUUAAAAACUCACCUGCAUGCAGCACAUGACAGCUUAAAAUCUCUUGUGAACAAAACAGUAACAAAGACACCCACCAGGGUUGAGCAUCCCGUGUUGAUGACAGCGACCACCAGGGGUCAAUGUCCUCUUCACAAUCCUGUGUCAGAGCAUCACUUGACUGAUUUCAUUAGCAACUUCCCAGGAGAAUCAGCUUACAAAAUACUUGUCCCAUUUUCCAUGCAGAUGUAACCCAUCUAUUUUACUGAAGAAAUGGGAAGAGCUGAAUGCUGAAUACACUGAAUGUCUGCAGGUUGUGCAAGUUUGUGACUUUAUCACCUUCUAAUUUCUGAUCUGUGUGAACCACUCUACAGAUUUUUCUCACUGGUGUGAGAAAAAUCAGCCCUCUGGAUGUCAAAUAUAAUAGACUUUCAAUAAUAUAAAAGUCAACACAAGCUCCUCAUGGUUUCACUGCUCAGUGAUGACUCUAAACUUACACAAUGUGUUUCUUUAUUAGUUUUGUUUUCUGGUACCUCUACUCAGCAUCUUCACCACACCCAUUUUAUGUUUCUUAUACAGGUAAUUGAUAAUUUUAAAAUUUAUUGGUGCUUACUUUAAUUAAAUAAGCAGACAAUAUCUUAGAAUUUAAAAAAAAU